Molecule: long non-coding RNA, 1048 nt
Filed under: Struthio camelus australis
Lineage: Eukaryota; Metazoa; Chordata; Aves; Struthioniformes; Struthionidae
Description: lncRNA (ENSSCUG00000010721.1)
Source: RNAcentral
CUCCUGGGGACACAGAACACAGCACAUUGUAACUACAGCAAUAGACUCAACUGCGAAAGAUCUCUAUCAGGCAUCACAGAGAAUCUGAGGCAGCUGGCAGUUAUCAGCUGAAGCAGAUCUUUGAUUGAAAAUGACUGUGGACAAUUCACUAAUGGUGGCAGAAAUGACAAGAGAAUUUGCAGCUGGCAGGUUUACAAAACAAAAUCAAAAACCCCAAAGAACAAGCAAAGUAUGUGGAUGUACUUAUGAGCACUGUACCAAAAUGUUUUUGAAGUUUACUCGGAGCAGUUGCAGAAGGAUCUAGUGACGGGUUCAUAAAAUGGCAGAUGAAAUUCAGUACCAAUAACUACAAAGUAAUGCACAUGGAAAGAAAAACAGUCGUAAUUAUACAAGCACACUGGCAUGCUUCAGUGUGACUAUUUCCAUUUGGAAAGAGAUCUUGUGGGCUUUUUGGUUAGUUCUCUGACAGCCUGAACUUGAUGCUCAGUAGCAGUUAUAAAACAGUUGCACUAAUAUAAAUUAUUAGGAAAAGAAUGAAGAGCAAAACAGAAAACAUAAUUAUACCAUUGUAUAAAACUGAAGUGCUGGCAAAGCUUAAAUAUUUCGUGAAUUUCUGGAAAUUCAAACACUCAAACCCCCUUAAACCUGGAGAAAGUACGGAGAGGGAUGUGUACUAUGAUGAGAGAUAUCUGAAGGACACUGUAUUCAACAUUCUGGUCUCUUUCACUGUUGGUUUUCUUGCUGUUCUCCCUCCAAACCUUUCCACAGCUGCAGUAGUCACUUUCUUACUGGAGUGGCAUGGCUUCUCCUCUACAGUGCCAGAGCAAUGUCAUUGCAGAGAAAUGUUAAGCAAGAAACUGAACAGAAGAUUAAAAACAAGAGUGAUUACAGGAUGCCUUACCAUCUCACAGUUACUAGAGAUGCUAAGGAGGAAUUGCUGAGAGAAGAUAAACAGGUUUUCCCUCUCCCAGAAGCUCUGUUACAAAGGACAGCAAAUAGAGCACAUUACUGGAGAAUCCUACACUUGCCUCUGUACUGGGUACUAUAG